UGCCACUCCGCUUGUACCUAUAGGCAGAAAUAAAUUACAAGUACAUCACACCCAGAGACGUUACAUGCGGCUCCGCAAACUUGAAUCUUGCUUUUCUGGCCUAUCUCUGCCAUGAAAGCAAUGGUUUGACAGCCGACAACAGCCUCACUUACGCAGAAUUAAUUCAGGGUCAUGAGCAAGACUCGAGAGACGAGCGGGUUUUUCGUGUGUGGAUCAAUAGCCUUGGUACAACAAGUAUGACAAACUUUGCUAUGAACUAAUGUUUACCAAGACACAAGUGGAACUGGAACUUACAGGACAAGAGCUUAUCAUUCUUCUCUGGACUGCAGAACCACGCGUUCUAAAUUGGCGGCUCGUGACCAAACACUGGAUCGAUAAUAUCCUAUGAAUUCCAGAUGACGAGCAAAACGCGGUUAGUGCGGCCAGGAAGCUCGGCUGCAGCGUGAUCUUGCUGUGGGAUGACAUUGGCGAGGUACUUGUUUUUCCAACUUUGUUAAUUUGCUUUCGCAGGUGAGACCCAAGGCGGUGAUGAUCUUGGUAGCCACCGUGAUGCUCUGGAAUCUGGCCGAAAAGGCUAGAAAGGCUUCUAACACUGCUGCUGUCCACAACGAGUCUUCUUACAGCCACAGGGACGCGUGACAUGACGCGCCCAUAACGUCGAUUGCGUGAACGAUCGGGCUAAUUUCUGGAUACGCUGCCAGAGACAAUCUGUCCUGCUAAACUCCCAUUCAAGACACUGAAAGGCACAUGUAUUAGUACACGG
Long non-coding RNA from Selaginella moellendorffii, 763 nucleotides. RefSeq lists it as uncharacterized. The record is from RefSeq and is a predicted model, not a curated record. NCBI's taxonomy places the organism in Eukaryota, Viridiplantae, Streptophyta, Lycopodiopsida, Selaginellales, Selaginellaceae. The transcript is spliced from 3 exons.